GUAUUUUAUGGAAAAGUAAAACGGUUGGUAAAGGGAUUAUAGUGGGUGAAUUAUUAAGAUAAGGAUAACAACCCCUGUUGUUUUGCGCUUUCUUACUUUAGUACCAUGUGAUUUAAAUAAUAUUAAUUUAAUAUCUCGUGGUUUUAUUUUUCCCUUUUUCUCAGCUCCUCCGUUAACAUUUCGUUAAAUUAUAUACAAAAAACUUCAGAUACCUCACCUAAGUUUUUCGAAUAAUCACUUUAAUAUCUUUUAGUUUUAACUUUUUUACUGAUUUAAUGAAAAAAAAUAGUGGAGAGAAUAAUAAAAAGAGAAAAAUAAAAUCAUGAGGUAAUAAAUUGAUACACUUUAAAAUAUAGAGUAUUAAAAUAAAAAAAUGCGAAAUCAUAUGGGUGGUAUCUGAUGUUUUUCUAUAAAAUAAUCUAACAACCCCUAUUUGACUACAUGUAAUGAAAUGGGAAAGGAUUCAAGGAUUUUAAACAUUCUCGAGGUAUUGUAAAGGCUUGAAUUGUAAAGGGUAAAGAAUAGUUUAAGAAAUAUGUUAUGGACUUAUUCUAUAUAAAGCUUCUCUUUUAAAAUCUCUAGAGCGUUCGAACAUUGACCACGGACAAGGUUAUAAAGUCAUUUCAUCUUCAUUCGAUAUUCAAUAAAACUAUAGCUGGUCCACUUGGGAUUGUGACCUAUCUAACCCCAAUGUGCAAAAUGGAGGUAGGGAGAAAGUAUAUAAAAAUAUGUUUAUUUAUUUUUUGGUGGGAUUAUAAAAAUAUAUCAUAAUCGACUCAUUCAUAUGUACGGAAUACGAUAAUAUUUAUGAAAACAAGCAGAAUAUUUUUUCCAUUAUACUUUAAUAAUAUCUUUCUAUAGUUUUAAAUAAAGUCUAAAUUGAUGCAAACACAAUAUUUUUUUAUUGUACUCUCUCAACAUACAUAACGUAAUUUUUCUGGAAAAAAAAUAAAAAAUAAAAAAUAAAAAGAUAAAAGUUUAGGGUGAAUU
RNAcentral lists this long non-coding RNA (990 nucleotides) under Ananas comosus (pineapple). RNAcentral's name for it is "long non-coding RNA (ACOM_LNC004433)". Lineage: Eukaryota; Viridiplantae; Streptophyta; Magnoliopsida; Poales; Bromeliaceae. The record is from RNAcentral.